RNAcentral lists this unclassified non-coding RNA (1760 nucleotides) under Hevea brasiliensis (rubber tree). Lineage: Eukaryota; Viridiplantae; Streptophyta; Magnoliopsida; Malpighiales; Euphorbiaceae. The record is from RNAcentral.
GCCAUUGAUGCACUGAGAUCAAAGCUCAAAGCUUUCUCUUGAAGAUGUAACAAUAUUAUAGUAGCUGAAGAUCAAACCCUGUAACAACAAAUCCUAAAAUACCCAUCAUGUCCCUAUCACUUUCUUCUUACCCCACGCGCUUCGCCAUCCUCACGCUCCUCUCCGCCACCACAGUCUUCUUCUUCUACAAAUCACGCCGUCAUCUAUCCAAACGCCUCAAAUCCUUAAAACCCAUUUCCCAUAACCCUAUUUCUAAAACCCCAAGAGGCAAAAUCUUCUUUAUAUCCCAAACAGGCACUUCUAAAACCCUAGCAAAGAGUCUUCAUAGUUUGUUAAACCUUAACGGGUUUGAAUUCGAUCUAGUUGACCCGAAAGAGUAUGAGCCUGAGGAUUUGCAUAAAGAAAGCUUUGUAGUUAUUGUAGCUUCUACGUGGGAAGACGGGAAACCACCUCCAAAUGCGGGGUUUUUUGUUGAUUGGUUAACUGAGAGUGCUGAUGAUUUCAGGGUUGGAUCUUUGUUGCUUAGCAAGUGUAAAUUUGCAAUCUUUGGAGUUGGGAGUGGGUCUUAUGGUGAAACAUUUAAUGCUGUGGGUCGUGAUUUUUCGAAGAAGUUGAAGAAACUUGGUGGGGUUGAGGUUUUAGAGGUGUGUGAAGGUGAUGUAGAUGAGGGUAGUUUGAAUGAGGUUUUUGGUAAGUGGAGCAAGAGGAUUGUUGGGAUUUUGAGUAAUUUGGGCGAGAAUGGAGGGGAUAUGAGGAAUGGAGUUGGUGGUGGUAGUGAAGAUGAAGCUGUGAGUGAGGGAGAUGAUGAUGGGGAAUAUGAUGACGAGUUUGAAGAAAAUGAUGAGGAGUCAGGAAUUGUUGAUCUUGAGGAUAUUGCGGGUAAAGGACCUUCAAGAAAGAAAGGAGUUAACGAUAAGUUCGUUAAUGGGAAGUCGAAUGGUGGAACUGUGAAUGGAGAGAAGGCAAUGGUAACUCCAGUUAUUAGAGCGAGUUUGGAGAAACAGGGAUAUAAAAUAAUUGGCACGCAUAGCGGUGUGAAACUUUGUAGAUGGACAAAAUCACAACUUAGAGGGCGCGGAGGUUGCUAUAAGCACUCAUUUUAUGGCAUUGAGAGUCACAGGUGCAUGGAGGCCACUCCUAGUUUAGCAUGUGCAAACAAAUGUGUUUUUUGUUGGAGACAUCACACAAAUCCUGUUGGGAAGAGCUGGACAUGGAAGAUGGAUGAUCCUAUUGAGAUUGUGAACACAGCUAUAGAUUUGCAUACCAAAAUGAUAAAACAGAUGAAAGGCGUUCCAGGUGUUAAAGCUGAGCGUUUGUCUGAGGGUCUUUCUCCUAGGCAUUGUGCUUUGUCACUGGUUGGUGAGCCUAUUAUGUAUCCAGAAAUAAAUUCACUUGUAGAUGAGCUGCACAGGAGGCGGAUUUCGACUUUUCUUGUUACUAAUGCACAGUUCCCUGACAAGAUUAAGUUAUUGAAACCAAUCACACAGUUGUAUGUCAGCGUAGAUGCAGGUACAAAGGACAGCUUAAAAGCAAUUGACAGACCACUAUUUGGAGACUUCUGGGAGCGAUUUCUUGAUUCUUUGAGAGCUCUUAAGGAGAAGGAGCAAAGAACUGUCUAUCGUUUGACACUCGUUAAAGGGUGGAACACAGAAGAUGUGGAUGCAUAUUCUAGCCUAUUCAGCAUUGGGAAACCCGAUUUCAUUGAAAUCAAAGGUGUCACUUAUUGUGGAACGUCGGCUACAUCAAAGUUGACAAUGGAG